UACCGGGGGGGCAAGCGUUGUUCGGAAUUACUGGGCGUAAAGGGCGCGUAGGUGGCCUUCUAAGUUGAACGUGAAAUCCCCGGGCUCAACCCGGGAACUGCGUCCGAUACUGGGAGGCUUGAAUCCGGGAGAGGGAUGUGGAAUUCCAGGUGUAGCGGUGAAAUGCGUAGAUAUCUGGAGGAACACCGGUGGCGAAGGCGGCAUCCUGGACCGGUAUUGACGCUGAGGCGCGAAAGCCAGGGGAGCAGACGGG
This 253-nucleotide ribosomal RNA is filed under the name uncultured bacterium. Its description in RNAcentral is "partial 16S ribosomal RNA". It matches the Rfam family "Bacterial small subunit ribosomal RNA", at positions 524 to 776 of the family's 1533-position model. The record is from RNAcentral.